CCCAAAAUGAUGACAGUCCCCAGUCCUGUGCCAAUGGAUCUGAUUUCAGCGCUCCCUACACUUCCUUGUUCCUUCAGCUCCAUGACCUGGUAUCCUUCACUGGCACCCUACCCCUGGCAGGGGUAAGGUGCCAGUGGUGACAUGGCAGGGGUAAGGUGCCAGUGGUGACAUGGCAGGGGUAAGGUGCCAGUGGUGACAUGGCAGGGGUAGGAUGCCAGUGGUGACAUGGCAGGGGUAGGGUGCCAGUGGUGACAUGGCAGGGGUAAGGUGCCAGUGGUGAACAGGAAAAUGAGGAAGAAAAGCAGCUAAGAAUGUGUUUCAGAUGAACAAUCAAAGACCGACUCCAAAUAAAUAGCAAGUCGUUUAUAUGGAAAUAUC
Brienomyrus brachyistius is the source of this 378-nucleotide long non-coding RNA. RefSeq lists it as uncharacterized. NCBI's taxonomy places the organism in Eukaryota, Metazoa, Chordata, Actinopteri, Osteoglossiformes, Mormyridae. The transcript is spliced from 3 exons. The record is from RefSeq and is a predicted model, not a curated record.